GUAGCUCACACGAGCCCGUUCCUUUGCAAGGCGGGGGUCAGGGGUUCGAUUCCCCUCGUCUCCA
Molecule: transfer RNA, 64 nt
Filed under: Actinomycetota bacterium
Lineage: Bacteria; Bacillati; Actinomycetota
Description: tRNA-Ala
Source: RNAcentral